CCUACGGGAGGCAGCAGUCGAGAAUCAUUCACAAUGGGGGAAACCCUGAUGGUGCGACGCCGCGUGAAGGAAGAAGUAUUUCGGUAUGUAAACUUCUAUCAGCAGGGAAGAAAAUGACGGUACCUGACUAAGAAGCCCCGGCUAACUACGUGCCAGCAGCCGCGGUAAUACGUAGGGGGCAAGCGUUAUCCGGAUUUACUGGGUGUAAAGGGAGCGUAGACGGCGAUGCAAGCCAGAUGUGAAAGCCCGGGGCUCAACCCCGGGACUGCAUUUGGAACUGUGUGGCUGGAGUGUCGGAGAGGCAGGCGGAAUUCCUAGUGUAGCGGUGAAAUGCGUAGAUAUUAGGAGGAACACCAGUGGCGAAGGCGGCCUGCUGGACGAUGACUGACGUUGAGGCUCGAAAGCGUGGGGAGCAAACAGGAUUAGAUACCCGUGUAGUC
Molecule: ribosomal RNA, 440 nt
Filed under: uncultured bacterium
Lineage: Bacteria
Description: partial 16S ribosomal RNA
Rfam family: Bacterial small subunit ribosomal RNA
Source: RNAcentral